Non-coding RNA from Meleagris gallopavo (turkey), 395 nucleotides. The record is from RefSeq and is a predicted model, not a curated record. Lineage: Eukaryota; Metazoa; Chordata; Aves; Galliformes; Phasianidae.
GUCGAGGAGGGCGUCGGGGCGCCGUACGGCGCGGAGCUGCUGCUGGAGUUGUCCCGGCUGCUGCCCGGCGCCGUGGAGGUGAGACUCGGGGUGGGAAAACCCCCGGCGACCCCCGCUGACUGCCGGCUCCUCCGCCCCCCUCGCAGGUGUCCCGGCUGCGCGCUUUCUCUGGCUGCCCUCAGCAGCUGCCCGAGCCCGAGCUCUUCAUGCUGCUGCUGCUGGAGGUGCCCAGCUACGCGCAGCGCCUGGAGCUGAUGGUGCUGCAGGAGGAAUUCUCCCCGCGGCUCAGCGCGCUCCGCGCCUCCAUCCAAAUCCUGACCGACGCCGCCGAGGAGGUGGUGCGGUGCGAGGAGCUGCACGCGGUUCUGCACCUCGUCCUGAGCGCGGGGAACCAC